UACGGGGGGGGGCAAGCGUUGUUCGGAAUUACUGGGCGUAAAGGGCUCGUAGGUGGCCAACUAAGUCGGACGUGAAAUCCCUCAGCUUAACUGGGGAACUGCGUCCGAUACUGGAUGGCUCGAGUUUGGGAGAGGGAUGCGGAAUUCCAGGUGUAGCGGUGAAAUGCGUAGAUAUCUGGAGGAACACCGGUGGCGAAGGCGGCAUCCUGGACCAACACUGACACUGGAGGAGCAGAACGCAGGGGAGCAAACGGG
Molecule: ribosomal RNA, 255 nt
Filed under: uncultured bacterium
Lineage: Bacteria
Description: partial 16S ribosomal RNA
Rfam family: Bacterial small subunit ribosomal RNA
Source: RNAcentral